AUUGAACGCUGGCGGCAGGCCUAACACAUGCAAGUCGAGCGGAGCGGCGGACGGGUGAGUAAUGCCUAGGAAUCUGCCUGGUCGUGGGGGAUAACGUCCGGAAACGGGCGCUAAUACCGCAUACUAGCAGAUGAGCCUAGGUGGGAUUAGCUAGUUGGUGGGGUAAAGGCUUACCUAGGCGACGAUCCGUAGCUGGUCUGAGAGGAUGAUCAGUCACACUGGGACUGAGACACGGGCCAGACUCCUACGGGAGGCAGCAGUGGGGAAUAUUGCACAAUGGGCGCAAGCCUGAUGCAGCCAUGCCGCGUGUAUGAAGAAGGCCUUAGGGUUGUAAAGUACUUUAAGUCGGGAGGCGUUACCGACAGAAGAAGCACCGGCUAACUCCGUGCCAGCAGCCGCGGUAAUAC
This 407-nucleotide ribosomal RNA is filed under the name uncultured bacterium. RNAcentral's name for it is "partial 16S ribosomal RNA". It matches the Rfam family "Bacterial small subunit ribosomal RNA", at positions 30 to 526 of the family's 1533-position model. The record is from RNAcentral.